This 1036-nucleotide long non-coding RNA is filed under the name Pavo cristatus (Indian peafowl). RNAcentral describes it as "lncRNA (ENSPSTG00000009959.1)". The record is from RNAcentral. Lineage: Eukaryota; Metazoa; Chordata; Aves; Galliformes; Phasianidae.
CUGGAAUUAAAAUAACAUAUAUUUAGUCAUAUUGGUGCAUAUCUUUCAACUGUCUCCUGCUUAGCUUUUAGUUUUGAACUUUCCCAUAGAAAUCACUUUCAGUGCUUGAGAACUAUGUUCUUCCUUGAAGCAGAAACAUUAGAAAGAAAAAUAUCUCUGCCUUGGUAAACGCGAUGAGAGAACAUGGAUAUGUCUGAAGCAAUACUGAUACUUAGNUAAGGCGAGCGGAGGAGCUAGCUAGGCAGGGAGAGGUCUCCUGUGCGGAGCUGCUGUGGCGCUGGCCGCGCGGUGAUCCUCUCCCUGGCGGACCGGGAGGGUUGGCGACCAGCGGCUCCAGGACGGGACGGGCGCGUCGGCGUAGGGGAGAGAACAGCAGGCGGACGACAAGCAGCCGACUCCGCUCCCUUCAGGCGGCUCCCGCUCGCGGUGACGUCAGCGCCCCGCUCCUCAGUCGGCGGUGCGGGGCGGUGCGGAGCGGAGCGCCCGGGACUCCGCGCGCGGUAAGCAGCCGUCGCGCCGCAGAAGGGCCGCCCGGCGCCGCCUCCUCCCCUCCGUCCCUCCCUUCUUCAGUGCCGGCUGGCCUCCGCGCUGCCUCAUGUUCGGGCUGGAGAAGCCGCCGGGGCAGCAAAAGCUGGGCAGGAGCAGUGGGUUCCCGAACAUGGCGUCCGUGGGGGAUUUUAACGUGCUCAGCUCCAGCAUCCCGGCCACCAAGGUAGAGCUCUCCGUGUCCUGCAGAAAUCUUUUGGACAGAGAUACAUUUUCUAAAUCUGAUCCAAGUAAGUAUGUACCGUUUUACUGCUUUUUCCUCAUCAUAUAUUUCAAAUGUGUAAACACUGGAUUAAAAAUGAGAUUAGUGGAUUAAUUUGAUGUCUGCUGGGUUUACUUUGUCUUUGCGACAGUUAUUUAAUGCAGUGCUGGCUGUGCUUAUAGCCCCUGUUACAGGAACUGGAAUUUUAAAGACUCUGUAAUCACUACUGCAUUCCUAACUGUGCUGUCCCUUAGUCAAGCAGUCAAGCUACAGUUUCUUAAAAUAAGU